This 158-nucleotide small nuclear RNA is filed under the name Theobroma cacao (cacao). Its description in RNAcentral is "U1 spliceosomal RNA". It matches the Rfam family "U1 spliceosomal RNA". Rfam says of the family: U1 is a small nuclear RNA (snRNA) component of the spliceosome (involved in pre-mRNA splicing). Its 5' end forms complementary base pairs with the 5' splice junction, thus defining the 5' donor site of an intron. The record is from Rfam by way of RNAcentral. Lineage: Eukaryota; Viridiplantae; Streptophyta; Magnoliopsida; Malvales; Malvaceae.
AAACGUUUGUGAAGGGGUUAAUGGGCGAUCAAGAAGGCUCAUGGCCUAGGUAGAUGGCCGCCAUUGCACUGAGGAGGUGCAUCUGUCUAAGGUCUCCCAAGUGAGAGAGCCUACGUCAUAAUUUGUGGCAGAGGGGGCCUGCGUACGCGCGGCCCCUA